CAGUAGCCACGGGAAUACGUAGGGUGCAAGCGUUAAUCGGAAUUACUGGGCGUAAAGCGUGCGCAAGCGGUUUGUUAAGACAGAUGUGAAAUCCCCGGGCUCAACCUGGGAACUGCAUUUGUGACUGGCAAGCUAGAGUGUGGCAGAGGGGGGUGGAAUUCCGCGUGUAGCAGUGAAAUGCGUAGAUAUGCGGAGGAACACCGAUGGCGAAGGCAGCCCCCUGGGCCAACACUGACGCUCAUGCACGAAAGCGUGGGGAGCAAACAGGAUUAGAUACCCCCGUAGUCCCUGUCUCUUAUAC
Molecule: ribosomal RNA, 301 nt
Filed under: uncultured bacterium
Lineage: Bacteria
Description: partial 16S ribosomal RNA
Rfam family: Bacterial small subunit ribosomal RNA
Source: RNAcentral